CGAAGGACCCAAGCGUUAUCCGGAUUUAUUGGGUUUAAAGGGUGCGUAGGCGGGUUAUUAAGUCAGUGGUGAAAGCCUACAGCUUAACUGUAGAAUUGCCAUUGAUACUGAUGAUCUUGAGUAUGAUUGAGGUGGGCGGAAUGUGUCAUGUAGCGGUGAAAUGCUUAGAUAUGACACAGAACACCGAUUGCGAAGGCAGCUCACUAAGCCAUAACUGACGCUGAUGCACGAAAGCGUGGGGAGCAAACAGGAUUAGAUACCCUGGUAGUCCACGCCCUAAACGAUGAUCACUCGAUGUGUGCGAUACACUGUACGCGUCUGAGCGAAAGCAUUAAGUGAUCCACCUGGGGAGUACGACCGCAAGGUUG
Molecule: ribosomal RNA, 368 nt
Filed under: uncultured organism
Description: bacterial SSU rRNA
Rfam family: Bacterial small subunit ribosomal RNA
Source: RNAcentral